UACAGAGGGGGCAAGCGUUGUUCGGAAUUAUUGGGCGUAAAGAGCUCGUAGGCGGUUUGUCGCGUCUGCUGGUGAAAAACCUCAGGGCUUAACCCUGAGCUUGCAGUGGGUACGGGCAGACUUGAGGUGCGGUAGGGGGAAGAUCUGGAAUUCCUGGUGUAAGCGGUGAAAUGCGCAGAUAUCAGGAGGAACACUGGUGGCGAAGGCGGGGUCUCUGGGCCGUAACUGACGCUGAGGAGCGAAAGCAUGGGGGAGCGAACAGG
RNAcentral lists this ribosomal RNA (263 nucleotides) under uncultured bacterium. RNAcentral describes it as "partial 16S ribosomal RNA". It matches the Rfam family "Bacterial small subunit ribosomal RNA", at positions 524 to 776 of the family's 1533-position model. The record is from RNAcentral.